RNAcentral lists this ribosomal RNA (239 nucleotides) under uncultured bacterium. Its description in RNAcentral is "partial 16S ribosomal RNA". It matches the Rfam family "Bacterial small subunit ribosomal RNA", at positions 524 to 764 of the family's 1533-position model. The record is from RNAcentral.
UACAGAGGUCUCGAGCGUUAGGCGGAAUCACUGGGCUUAAAGCGUGUGUAGGCGGCGGGCUAAGUACCUUGUGAAAUCCCACGGCUUAACUGUGGAACUGCUGGGUAUACUGGUUCGCUUGAGCGGUCUAGGGGCGAGCGGAACAAAUGGUGGAGCGGUGAAAUGCGUAGAUAUCAUUUGGAACGCCAACGGUGAAAACAGCUCGCUGGGGACCUGCUGACGCUGAGACAGAAGCCAGG